GGAAUAUAGCUCAGUUGGUAGAGCGUCUGCCUGUUAAGCAGAAGGCCGUAGGUUCAAUCCCUGCUGUUCCC
RNAcentral lists this transfer RNA (71 nucleotides) under uncultured Lachnoclostridium sp. It matches the Rfam family "tRNA". Rfam says of the family: Transfer RNA (tRNA) molecules are approximately 80 nucleotides in length. Their secondary structure includes four short double-helical elements and three loops (D, anti-codon, and T loops). Lineage: Bacteria; Bacillati; Bacillota; Clostridia; Lachnospirales; Lachnospiraceae. The record is from RNAcentral.